UAUAACUACAUGUCGAGUAAUACCAAGAGAAAUAAACGGUGGCUGCUUUCCAUUAAAGCAAAGCAAGAAAGAGCAAAUUGAUAAACGAAAUAUGGUUUGCGAAAUCGUAAGCCGAUGCAUGCAAUAUUUACAGAGGAGCAAUAUAAAUUGUUUCCAAAAAGGGUUAUGAGAGUAUGGAAUCAGUCAAGGAGUUCUUCCAACUCAAGGAUGUGCCUCUUUCCUACUACACAUGAAUCCUCGGCAUCUCAUUUUUGGUUUACGGGAGUUUAGGAUUUGGAAACGUGCUCAUAUCUCUGGGUAUAAGAAUGUUGUAGUUCAUAACUAAAUACUCCUUACGUUACCUGGUGCAACCUUCUCCAAGAAUAUUAUACGGAUUUUUCCCUACUCCAGGUAUGUUAAGGCCCUCCCUUCUUUCUUUUCGCAUGAUCCAUACGAUAUGAACGAAACGUGCAAAUGCACAAAUUCCAUAAGUGACUUUACUCAUAUAAAUAAUAAAAAUAUCUAUGUUCUUUACUUCCCAUGUGUCAUAAUAUUUUAUCAUUUGUUCAUGAGUCUCAGAAAAAUAUGAAAGUUGAAAAGAUAUUACUUUAUGAUAUUGCUCAAGAGGCAAAGUGGUCUUAUGACCUUCUGAAUGAUUUUAUUGACGUACUUUUCAUGCAUUGCAUUCAUGUGCAUUGACCCAUGACCAUAUGGCGUUAUAUACGCGUAUAUAUGUAAAUAUAUGUAUAUGGGAUAUGGGAAAAGGUUAUGGCGUUAUAUACGCACCACCACCUGAUCAGCUGGUAUAUGAUGACGAUGUUGCCCACAGUGGCUGAAAUAUAAUUUAAACGGUGUUAUAUACGCAUAUAUAUGUAAAUAUGAUUCAAACGACUUUAUAUACGCGUAUAUAUGCAUGUAUAUAUGUAUAUGGGAUAUGGGAAAGGUUAUGGCGUUAUAUACGCACCACCACCUGAUCAGUUGGUAUACGGUGAUGAUUUUGCCCACAGUGGCCGAUAUGAUAUGAUGGCAUGCCCUCAGAGGCUGAUGAUGUUAUGAAAUAUGUAACUAUGCACGACAUGACAUUCAUACGCAUACGCAUGACACUAAAAGUAAUUUAUGAUUUACAAAGUUAUUCAGACUUACAAGUUGAGUCAUGUACUUUAUAUGUCUUCCAUGUCUCUUAUGUAUUUAUUUAUGUACCUUACACACUCAGUACAUUAUUCGUACCGAUGUCCAUUUUUCCUGGGACGCUGCGUUUCAUGCCCUCAGGACCCGAUAGACAGGUCAAGAGCCCUCUAUGUAGGCUAUCAGCUCAGCGGAAGAUGUUGGUGCGCUCCACUUGCUUCGGAGUUGCUUGUUUAGUUAGUAUGAGUUAGACGUAUAUUGUUUGGUAUGGCGGGACUCUGUCUCGACCUUUAUGAUAUUUAUGUAUUUUUAGAGGCUUGUAGACAUAUGUCGUGUACGUGAAAGAUUGUACGGCCUUGUCGGCCUAUGUUUUGAGUUUAUAAAUGAUUAUGUUGGCC
This 1502-nucleotide long non-coding RNA is filed under the name Nicotiana tabacum (common tobacco). RNAcentral describes it as "long non-coding RNA (NTAB_LNC018614)". The record is from RNAcentral. Lineage: Eukaryota; Viridiplantae; Streptophyta; Magnoliopsida; Solanales; Solanaceae.